RNAcentral lists this long non-coding RNA (925 nucleotides) under Citrus sinensis (sweet orange). RNAcentral's name for it is "long non-coding RNA (CSIN_LNC003690)". The record is from RNAcentral. Lineage: Eukaryota; Viridiplantae; Streptophyta; Magnoliopsida; Sapindales; Rutaceae.
CAAAGGUCUCAAAAGCUCAAUAUCUUCUGCUUUCUUCGGUCUACAAGCUGGAAGCCAAAACUAUUGACGCUUUAAAAGAAGAAUUUUCAUUUCCAGUGUACCCAAUUGGACCAACCAUUCCCUACUUUAACGUAUCAUCAAUUACUGAUCACAAUGGUCCCAAAUACUUUGCGUGGUUGGAAACUCAGCCUGUUGGCUCAGUUUUGUACGUCUCAUUGGGAAGCUUUUUAUCAGUUUCAAGUGCACAAAUGGAUGAAAUUAUAGCUGGUAUCCGCAACAGUGGCGUUAGAUAUUUGUGGGUGACAAGAGGUGAUACUUCUCGGUUUAAAGAUGGCCGUGCUGAUGAUCGGGGCAUUGUGGUGCCUUGGUGUGACCAACUGAGGGUGCUGUGCCAUGCUUCUAUUGGGGGAUUUUGGACUCAUUGUGGCUUAAAUUCAACUAUCGAAAGUCUUUAUGCUGGUGUCCCAAUGCUUACUUUUCCGUUAUUCUGGGAUCAAGUUCCAAAUAGUAAGCAAAUUGUACAAGAUUGGAAGACUGGAUGGAGAGUGAAGAAACCUGAGAUAGCAAGUGAACGUUUGGUGACAAGAGAUGAAAUUACAGAGCUUGUGAAAAGGUUUAUGGAUUUGAAUAGUGAUGAGAGGAAAGAGAUGAGUAAAAGGGCCAGAGAAGUUCAAGAGAUUUGUCGAGAAGCAGCUGCAGAAAAUGGAUCAUCUAUUACUAACCUUGAUGCUUUUCUCAAGGACAUUUCACGUGCGUAGCCAUUUCAAUAAAGAAACCUUAUAGAAGCCUAUGUACCCACCUUAAGGUUCUUAUAAUCAAAAUUUUAUUAAGAUGUCCAGCAUCAAGCUCCCGUAGUUGUUUUAUCCCUUUUUUUUUUUUGGGUCCUGUUUACUUUUCCUCAAACCAAAUGAAAUUAGAGUUGUAU